This 410-nucleotide unclassified non-coding RNA is filed under the name Hevea brasiliensis (rubber tree). Lineage: Eukaryota; Viridiplantae; Streptophyta; Magnoliopsida; Malpighiales; Euphorbiaceae. The record is from RNAcentral.
GAAAGUAAUAACAAAUAUGAGCUUGUGGAUUUAUGAAUGGCCGCAGGCGAAAUGCACGAAUGGCAUCUAGUGCAGUUUCGACAUGGUUUUACAACUUGCAUGUUUAAGCCGCCUCCACUUUCCCCUGCCCUGCCCCCUCCCUCGUCUUUAAAUCUUCACAUUUGGAUCACCACCACACUUUUAGCCAGCCAGCCUCUUCUCUUUGGAUCACCACCAGACUUUUCUCUUUCCUUGUCUUUAAAUCUUCACAUGUGAUCGCGCACACAGUUUACAUCUAUAAAAGAGAAGAGGUUGUUUUUAGAAAACAGAGAGAAAGCAGAGGGUGCAAGGGACUGCUAUGAGAGUUGCAGAGAGCUAAGAAAAUAAGAAAGCAUGUAAAGAAAAAAAGAGUUUCCGCACAUGUGUUUAUG